This 284-nucleotide signal recognition particle RNA is filed under the name Planctomycetota bacterium. Its description in RNAcentral is "Planctomycetes bacterium (marine metagenome) signal recognition particle sRNA large type". It matches the Rfam family "Bacterial large signal recognition particle RNA". Rfam says of the family: The signal recognition particle (SRP) is a universally conserved ribonucleoprotein involved in the co-translational targeting of proteins to membranes. Archaeal SRP consists of a 7S RNA and homologues of the eukaryotic SRP19 and SRP54 proteins. In most bacteria, the SRP consists of a 4.5S RNA and the Ffh protein (a homologue of the eukaryotic SRP54 protein). The record is from RNAcentral. Lineage: Bacteria; Pseudomonadati; Planctomycetota.
UCGUGCUAGGUGGGGCGCUAGCGGUGCCCUGAAUAUCGAUUUUAUCGGUGUGACCCGCAAUCCGCUAUAGCGGGACCGAACGCUCCGCCGAGGGUUAUGUGCGUUAAGAUAACCUGUUUGGCUGAUGGUGUUGAAGGUUGGGUCCUCUGCAACGCCGCACCGUGAACCUGGUCAGGUCCGGAAGGAAGCAGCCAUAAGCGUUUCGCGGCGUGUGCCGGAGGAUCGCCUGACUGGAGCCAUUUGGUCGGGCGGGCCUUGGUGCACAUGUUCGAAGCGGAGCACGC